GACGAAUGCUGGCGGCGUGCUUAACACAUGCAAGUCGAACGGAAAGGCCCUGCUUUUGUGGGGUGCUCGAGUGGCGAACGGGUGAGUAACACGUGAGUAACCUGCCCUUGACUUUGGGAUAACUUCAGGAAACUGGGGCUAAUACCGGAUAGGAUCUCCUGCUGCAUGGUGGGGGUUGGAAAGUUUCGGCGGUUGGGGAUGGACUCGCGGCUUAUCAGCUUGUUGGUGGGGUAGUGGCUUACCAAGGCUUUGACGGGUAGCCGGCCUGAGAGGGUGACCGGCCACCUUGGGACUGAGAUACGGCCCAGACUCCUACGGGAGGCAGCAGUGGGGAAUAUUGCACAAUGGGCGGCAGCCUGAUGCAGCAACGCCGCGUGCGGGAUGCCGGCCUUCGGGUUGUAAACCGCUUUCGCCUGUGACGAAGCGUGCGCGACGGUAAUGGGUAAAGAAGCACCGGCUAACUACGUG
Molecule: ribosomal RNA, 468 nt
Filed under: uncultured bacterium
Lineage: Bacteria
Description: partial 16S ribosomal RNA
Rfam family: Bacterial small subunit ribosomal RNA
Source: RNAcentral